Picea glauca (white spruce) is the source of this 119-nucleotide non-coding RNA. NCBI's taxonomy places the organism in Eukaryota, Viridiplantae, Streptophyta, Pinopsida, Pinales, Pinaceae. The record is from Rfam.
GGGUGUGAAGUUACCAAUGUUAAUCCAAUGGAUCCCAUCGGAUCUCCGCAGUUAAGCAUGCUUGGACUAGAAUAGUACUGGGAUGGGUGACCUCCCGGGAAGUCCUAGUGUUGCACCCU